Molecule: non-coding RNA, 107 nt
Organism: Parathielavia appendiculata
Lineage: Eukaryota; Fungi; Ascomycota; Sordariomycetes; Sordariales; Chaetomiaceae
Source: the annotation of a RefSeq genome assembly
GCCCGGCUAGCUCAAUCGGUAGAGCGUGAGACUCUUAUGCAUGAUCGUCAUCAGUCCCAUGCGCAGGGUUCAUCUCAAGGUUGUGGGUUCGACCCCCACGUCGGGCU